CCUUGAGCUGUGGUGGGCUCCGCCCAGUUGGAGCUUCCCGGCUGCUUUGUUUACCUAAUCAAGCCCGGGCAAUGGCGGGCGCCCCUCCCGCAGCCUCGCUGCCGCCUUGCAGUUGGAUCUCAGACUGCUGUGCUAGCAAUCAGCGAGACUCCGUGGGCGUAGGACCCUCCGAGCCAGGUGUGGGAUAUAAUCUCGUGGUGCGCCGUUUUUUAAGCGGGUCUGAAAAACGCAAUAUUCGGGUGGGAGUGACUCGAUUUUCCAGGUGCGUCCGUCACCCCUUUCUUUGACUCAGAAAGGGAACUCCCUGACCCCUUGCGCUUCCCAAGUGAGGCAAUGCCUCGCCCUGCUUCGGCUCGCGCACCCACUGACCUGCGCCCACUGUCUGGCACUCCCUAGUGAGAUGAACCCGGUACCUCAGAUGGAAAUGCAGAAAUCACCCGUCUUCUGCGUCGCUCACGCUGGGAGCUGUAGACCGGAGCUGUUCCUAUUCGGCCAUCUUGGCUCCUCCGCCUCAGAGGUAUUAUCGCUUCAGUUCCAGAUCACCACAGUAAAUACUGCAAUACACCAGGUGCAAGUUGAUAAAAGAAUUCUGGAAAUUGAAGGCCAAGGAAGAGUGACUCAAAAAUAAGAAGCAGGCUGAAAAAUGAGAUGAGGAGACCGAGGCUCGGAGAGGCUUAUGCAUUUGCCCAAGACUCUACAACUCCACAACUUAACAGGCAAUUGCAUCUAGCAUAUAAUGUGUUGGUUAUCCCCAGAACACAGAGCAGUGCAUCUCCACAGCGAGAAUUCCAGAACAGGGUAAUCAUCAAGAAUCAAAUGGCUUGGAUCUGGUCUCUUCUCUUUGAGGAAGCAAGCAGGCAUGGAGGUGAGUCAGGCCAUUGGAAGAUUUCCUGUGGCUGAUGAAGAAUCCAACUCCAGGUUGCUCUUCUUUGAAGAGGAUUCCAGAAAUGCUUAGGGGCUGCUUGUUUGGACUGUAGGAGCUUAGCUGAGCACCAAGCACCAGCAGGAAUCAGAGAAUGGUGGCUUCCAUCCUCUGCGCACAGCAGCAAGGAAG
RNAcentral lists this long non-coding RNA (1054 nucleotides) under Homo sapiens (human). RNAcentral's name for it is "PREDICTED lncRNA (TCONS_00051889)". Lineage: Eukaryota; Metazoa; Chordata; Mammalia; Primates; Hominidae. The record is from RNAcentral.